Long non-coding RNA from Eriocheir sinensis (Chinese mitten crab), 2181 nucleotides. RefSeq lists it as uncharacterized. Lineage: Eukaryota; Metazoa; Arthropoda; Malacostraca; Decapoda; Varunidae. The transcript is spliced from 3 exons. The record is from RefSeq and is a predicted model, not a curated record.
UACAACAAGACAGGAGGUUUGUCAAGUGAGUGUUUGGCUCUAAGAAAAUUCUAUUAAAUCUCAAUAAUUACUCUUCUUUCUCUACAACAAGACAGGAGGCUUAUCAAGUGAGUGUUUGGCUCUAAGAAAAUUCCACUAAGUCUCAAUAAUUACUCUUCUUUCUCUACAACAAGACAGGAGGUUUGUCAAGUGAGUGUUUGGCUCUAAGAAAAUUCCACUAAGUCUCAAUAAUUACUCUUCUUUCUCUACAACAAGACAGGAGGUUUGUCAAGUGAGUGUCUGGCUCUAACAGUGUCUUGAUAACAGUGUGGUGGUCAAGAAGGCAGGCGACUCGUGAUGAAAAAUGGUUUGUUUUUUAUCAAUUAUGUAAAUGUUAUGGAAUGAACAAAUGAUAACAUACUGGAUAAACGUCUCACCAGAGCAUUCUCAAAAUUAGUAACAGCAAAACAACGUACUUAAAACACAUUCCAGGAUAAAAAUAUUCUCGGGUAGCGAAGAAAAAUGUGAAAAAUGUAAAAAUGUCUUGCUGGAAUUGAAACUGGGAGAUGACUUGUAAAUAAACAUAUGGAACUCAAGCGCUGACUCACAAGCUAAGCAGCAUCUAAACUUAAAUGGAGGUAAACAAAACCAUGAACAACCAACUACAGAUGCCAAUAUGUUCAUGUGUCUUGUAGUGGUGGUGUGUGGUGGUGCAUGGAAGGAGCUACGUGACUGAGGCUGUCCUGGAGUGUGGCGAGGCAGGACUUAGAGAGAGAGGGGCAGAGGCUUGCUGAGAGGAGUUAGCAGAUCACAGUGGUAUGGCUGCUAGAAAGGGGGCUGAGGGGGGCUGGAUGGGGCUAUAAGGAGCCUAAUACCUCCCUAAAUAAAAGAUGACCCUUCCAUUCCUCUUCCUAGCUGGACCACUGACUGAGAGAGUUAGCAGAUCACAGUGGUAUGGCUGCCAGAAAGGGGGGCUGAGGGGGGCUGAAUGGGGCUAUAAGGGGGCUAAUACCUCCCUAAAUAAAAGAUGACCCUUCCAAUCCCCUUCCUAGCUGGACCACUGACUGAGAGAGUUAGCAGAUCACAGUGGUAUGGCUGCUAGAAAGGGGGCUGAGGGGGGCUGGAUGGGGCUAUAAGGGGGCUAAUACCUCCCUAAAUAAAAGAUGACCCUUCCAUUCCUCUUCCUAGCUGGACCACUGACUGAGAGAGAAAGAGAGAGAGAGAGACAGGAGGGAAGGGAAGGAACGGAAUAAGUCUUAGAAACAGAGGAAAGGAGAGGAAUAAGAUCAAGCAACAAAGGAAAGGAGAAGGAAAUGAAGAAGAAAAGAUAAAGAGGAAAGUGAGCAGAGAAGAGAAAUCAACACAAGGGUGAGUGAGUGAAAGAGUGAGUAAGUAGGGUAAGCAGGUAGGUGGGUAGGUAGGUAAUGUAGGUGGACACAGCAGGUUAGUUAUGUAGAGCAGGAGGAACAGAGAGAAAAAAGGAGAGAAGAAUAAAUCAGCAGAGUGUGAACGAAUGAGAGGAGCAGGUGGGCAAGUAGGUAGGUAAGCAGGUAGGUGAGUAGGUAGGUAAUGUAGGUGGACACAGCAGGUUAGUUAUGUAGAGCAGGAGGAACAAAGAGAGAAAAAAGAAGAGAAGAAUAAAUCAGCAGAGUGUGAACGAAUGAGAGGAGCAGGUGGGCAAGUAGGUAGGUAAGCAGGUAGGUGAGUAGGUAGGUAAUGUAGGUGGACACAGCAGGUUAGUUAUGUAGAGCAGGAGGAACAGAGAGAGAAAAGAGAAGAGAAGAAUAAAUCAGCAGAGUGUGAACGAAUGAGAGGAGCAGGUGGGCAAGUAGGUAGGUAAGCAGGUAGGUGAGUAGGUAGGUGAGUAGGUAGGAAGGCAGGGAGGUGGGUAAGCAGGUAAUGGAGGGUAAGGACACAGCAGGUUAGCCCCUUCACUCCGAUGACGCCAACGUUAGCGUCCGACGGGCGUCACCGUAUGGAGAGGGUUAGUCCUCUUCUAACCCUCUUAAUCCUCUUCCAUUUCCUCUUAAUCCUCUUCUAAACCCCUUAAGAGGAAAUGGAAGAGAAUUAAGAGGAAUUUACAGGAGGAUUGAGAGGUUAAGAAGAUGAUCAAUCCUCUUCUAUUUCCUCUUAAUCCUCUUCUAAACCCCUUAAGAGGACAUGGAAGAGGAUUAAGAGGAAUUCAGAGGAGGAUUGAGAAGU